AAAACACAUACCAAUUCAAAGUGAAUUAGAAAUUGCAGUUACCAAAUUAUCUUUGUAAUUUCUGAGCCAAAAUAUUUCCAUAAUUUCCUUUCCUCCAGAAAAGAAUUUUCCAGAUAUCUGGAAAUUGACAAAAAAGAGGUUAUAUGAUUCAUGUUGGAGAAGAACUGAAGUCUAUGUAUUCGAGCUCAGUGUCGGAUUACCUCUGGCAGCAGGGCUGGGGCAUUGGCUGUUCAAACCCUUGUCCUCAGUGCCUGCAGCUUAAAGCCCUGCAAAAUGUAAGGUCAGCUCUGGCUGUCACUUGAGGUACAAAGAAGCCAAGCAGUGGAGCAAUUUGGAGAACAGAAGGAAUAGAUGUUGCUUAUAUGGUAGGCCUUAACAGAGUGCUCUGACUUUUUAAAAGAUGGAUCCUUUUAAUGGGCAACAAUGAAAAUACAGGCUGCCUGUGAAAGCAGCAGGAAGAAAAUGUUUGAAAAGCUGCCGCUUGUGCAACAGAGCCCUUGGAAUAGCAUCUGUCCAACUACUGGUGGUUAGAUUUGUAUUACCUGAUGUAAUUAAAAUGGAAGGAUCUUUUAGGGCUUCUUGCUGAAGACAUGAGCCACAGAGGCAGCCCCACGAGGGCAGGAAGCUGCGGCACAGAAUUCUCAUUGGGAAUAUUGGAUCCACCAUGCAGAUCAGAGAGAACAAUUUUGCCUGUAGUAUGGAGUUCUUAUGGUUUUACCAUUCUUGCUCUAGGAAUCACAGAAUCACAGAAGAAUCACAGAAUCACUAAGGUUGGAAAAGACCUAUAAGAUCAUCCAGUCCAACCAUCCACCUGUCACCAAUGGUUCUCAUUAAACCAUAUCCCUCAACACAACAUCCAAACGUUCUUUGAACACCUCCAGGGUCGGUGACUCCACCACCUCCCUGGGCAGCCCAUUCCAGUGCCUGACCACCCUUUCAGAGAAGUAGUAUUUCCUAAUAUCCAGCCUGAAUCUUCCCUGGCGAAGCUUGAAACCGGAAAAGGGGUAAGGGAGGAAGGAGUUAUUG
Molecule: long non-coding RNA, 1026 nt
Filed under: Phasianus colchicus (ring-necked pheasant)
Lineage: Eukaryota; Metazoa; Chordata; Aves; Galliformes; Phasianidae
Description: lncRNA (ENSPCLG00000019223.1)
Source: RNAcentral